This is a non-coding RNA of Taeniopygia guttata (zebra finch), 725 nucleotides long. The record is from RefSeq and is a predicted model, not a curated record. Lineage: Eukaryota; Metazoa; Chordata; Aves; Passeriformes; Estrildidae.
CUGGUAACUGGCUACCCAAAUGGGUAACUGGCUACCCAAAUGGGUAAGUGGCUACCCCACCACCCAGAACUGGCCCUGCACAGCUGCCGAGCUGCCCCCACAGCCACAAUGAGUGGAACUCCACAUCUGGGUGGAACUCCACAUCCACGUUCCACAUCUGAGUGGAACUCCACGUCUGAGUGGAACUCCACAUCUGAGUGGAACUCCACAUCUGAGUGUGGAACCCCACGUCCACGUUCCGUGUAACUCCACGUCCCUCUCACUGGGUGCUCCUCCUCUCCCUGACCCCAAGGCCCAGGAGAACUCCGCUGCCCCUCGCUGCGAGCCCAGGGCAGCAGAUCCACCCCCGGCAUUUUGGCCCAGCACUCUCCAGCACCCACCCAGCUCCUGGCCAGCACUAUGCACCGCUAGGCUACAGCCAAAAGCUGGGGCUGAAAGCAAAACCCCUCAGCGAGUCACAAGAAAAUACAAGACACAGAAGCUUAGAUCUCAAGCACUGAGAUUAUGUUGUACAAGGCUUGCACAGCAGCAAGUAUCAGGGUGAAACGUUGCAGCAGGAGAGGACAAUAUAUACUGAGUUCUAACUUUCCUCAAGAGAAAGCCAGAGAAUGAGCUCAAAUAUGUAAAUCUGGGAUAUACAAAAUACUCAACUCAAGAGAAGUAAGAAGCUAAUCAACAGUCUGCAGACUGUGAAGAAUCAAAAUAUACAAUAUAGAAAUAUACUA